RNAcentral lists this transfer RNA (74 nucleotides) under Nippostrongylus brasiliensis. It matches the Rfam family "tRNA". Rfam says of the family: Transfer RNA (tRNA) molecules are approximately 80 nucleotides in length. Their secondary structure includes four short double-helical elements and three loops (D, anti-codon, and T loops). Further hydrogen bonds mediate the characteristic L-shaped molecular structure. tRNAs have two regions of fundamental functional importance: the anti-codon, which is responsible for specific mRNA codon recognition, and the 3' end, to which the tRNAs corresponding amino acid is attached (by aminoacyl-tRNA synthetases). tRNAs cope with the degeneracy of the genetic code in two manners: having more than one tRNA (with a specific anti-codon) for a particular amino acid; and 'wobble' base-pairing, i.e. permitting non-standard base-pairing at the 3rd anti-codon position. The record is from Rfam by way of RNAcentral. Lineage: Eukaryota; Metazoa; Nematoda; Chromadorea; Rhabditida; Heligmosomidae.
GUCUCAGUGGCGUUGUGGUUAAUGCACGAGCUCCGGUUAGGCGCCGGACGCGGGUUCGAAUCCCGCCUCAGAUA